This 230-nucleotide small nucleolar RNA is filed under the name Clytia hemisphaerica. RNAcentral's name for it is "small nucleolar RNA SNORA73 family". It matches the Rfam family "Small nucleolar RNA SNORA73 family". From Rfam's summary of the family: U17 (SNORA73A and SNORA73B) also known as E1 belongs to the H/ACA class of small nucleolar RNAs (snoRNAs). The record is from Rfam by way of RNAcentral. Lineage: Eukaryota; Metazoa; Cnidaria; Hydrozoa; Leptothecata; Clytiidae.
CCAACAUAGAGUAUCUAUCUGGAGUCGCUUCCAAGAUAGCUCUGCUCGUGUGACAAGGAGCCUAGAACCUUUGUUCAUUGAGGUAUAUUCCAGUCACAGUGUUGGAUAUAAAUUCAGCUCAUUGUUUUGUGUCAUGCUUAACUUUUGAUGCAGAAUUUGGCAUAUUCCAUAAACUUUUUGUAGAUACUAUGUAUCAAUUACCAUCAAGAUAAACCAUGCUAAAAACAUUU